AAGUCGUAACAAGGUUUCCCUCCGCAGCUGAGCUUCGGAGACCUUGCACCCCUCUGGGGGGGAGGGCAGCGCGACUAUAAAUAAGGCUGGCCACUUGCAAGUUGACCGUGAGGUCAGCGACAUAAUCGAAUUGACGGGGACUUCCUAAAGCCUGUAGCACCACCUAGACGGGGAAACCCGUUUAGUACGGUAAGAGCCUGUAGGAUACACAAUGGAUAAUCCGCAGCCGAGCCCCUACUGCGAAAGCCACGGGGAAGGUUCACAGACUAGGUG
This 273-nucleotide unclassified non-coding RNA is filed under the name Hyaloscyphaceae sp. RNAcentral describes it as "partial contains internal transcribed spacer 1". Lineage: Eukaryota; Fungi; Ascomycota; Leotiomycetes; Helotiales; Hyaloscyphaceae. The record is from RNAcentral.